Small nucleolar RNA from Fukomys damarensis (Damara mole-rat), 123 nucleotides. Its record names the gene SNORA70. It matches the Rfam family "Small nucleolar RNA SNORA70". Rfam says of the family: snoRNA U70 seems to be exclusive to mammals and is a member of the H/ACA class of snoRNA which contain H (ANANNA) and ACA box motifs. H/ACA box snoRNAs are involved in the conversion of uridines to pseudouridines (5-ribosyluracil) a constituent of structural RNAs (transfer, ribosomal, small nuclear, and small nucleolar). NCBI's taxonomy places the organism in Eukaryota, Metazoa, Chordata, Mammalia, Rodentia, Bathyergidae. The record is from Ensembl.
CUGCAGUCAAUUAAGCCGACUGGGUUCUUCUGCUGGUGGUGCCCAGUGUGCAGUGGCUGCGAACAGCAAUCUCCUUGGUAGUGUAUGUGCUGUUGCUUGUGCACUUGGGAGGCUGAGACAGGA